RNAcentral lists this ribosomal RNA (387 nucleotides) under uncultured bacterium. Its description in RNAcentral is "bacterial SSU rRNA". It matches the Rfam family "Bacterial small subunit ribosomal RNA", at positions 29 to 417 of the family's 1533-position model. The record is from RNAcentral.
ACGAACGCUGGCGGCGUGCUUAACACAUGCAAGUCGAGCGGUAAGGCACCUCGGGUGUACACGAGCGGCGAACGGGUGAGUAACACGUGAGUAAUCUGCCCUUCACUUCGGGAUAACCGCCGGAAACGGUGGCUAAUACCGGAUACGACGCACUCUUGCAUGAGAUGUGCGUGGAAAGUCUUCUCGGUGAAGGAUGUGCUCGCGGCCUAUCAGCUUGUUGGUGAGGUAAUGGCUCACCAAGGUCUUCGACGGGUAGCCGGCCUGAGAGGGUGACCGGCCACACUGGGACUGAGACACGGCCCAGACUCCUACGGGAGGCAGCAGUGGGGAAUAUUGGACAAUGGGCGAAAGCCUGAUCCAGCAACGCCGCGUGAGGGAUGACGGCCU